Molecule: transfer RNA, 73 nt
Filed under: Anguilla anguilla (European eel)
Lineage: Eukaryota; Metazoa; Chordata; Actinopteri; Anguilliformes; Anguillidae
Description: tRNA-OTHER
Source: RNAcentral
GGCAGUGUAGUAUAAUGGGUAAGAUACUGGGCUUGUAACCUAAAGGUAAUAGGUUCGAUUCCCGGGACGGACA